This 3575-nucleotide long non-coding RNA is filed under the name Hordeum vulgare. RNAcentral's name for it is "long non-coding RNA (HVUL_LNC002646)". Lineage: Eukaryota; Viridiplantae; Streptophyta; Magnoliopsida; Poales; Poaceae. The record is from RNAcentral.
GACAGACGGGAUCAUGUAACUACGAUGGUGGAGACACCGCCACGACGAGCAUGAAGACAUGGCAUUGCCUCGCACACGUGGCGGGUUAAUUUAACUGCUUGACUGUUUUAGUAAAUUAUUAGUACUAGUCGAGAUUGUGCUCCGCAAAUAGCUAAACUGAAAAUAUGUGUGGAGGUGUUCGUUAAGAGGAUUGCACGAUUCGUUUGGUGUCUAUCUUUGACGCAUCUGCAUUGAUCCGGUCUUCGUCAUCUAAACUGUGACAAUUGCUAUAUUAUGGUGCAUUGAUCAAGUUUGGUCUUAGCAGCACAACUUUUCCCAAUUGUCUACUUCAACAACCUUUGCCGAAUUCCGGUGAGUGAGGUACUAUGACGCCGACAUGCCUUCGGCUCACCCGACUAGUUGUAGUUGUCGCUAGUUGGUCUAGGGACCUUAAUGUUAUUUAUUUUACCUGUAGUAUUCUUUAUACUAACGUGUCAAUUUAUGAAUAGAACAGAAGUUUUCUCCAACUAGUGUAUGACAAAUAUGUGAGACUGGAGGACUUCUCUCCUAAACAGAAAAGAACGAUUUCAUAGUAUAAGCCCCAUCAAUUAAACCGAUGUAUGCUGUCAGAGUGUGGAGGCCGUACGAUAAACAAAACUAUGGCUUUUUGUAAGUUUUGGUUCCGAAUUAGACAUACAAGUUCUUUUUUAUAACACAACAAGGACUGGGUUUGGAGAAGGCAUCAGUGAAUGCACUGAGCACAAAGAGUGACUGUUCGUCUAUGUUGGUCUAUAUAUACUGAUUUAAUGUUUCGUAACCAGGGAGAUGCAUGUUCGUCUAUAUUCCUCAGUUCCUUCAUCUUUGUCCCUCAGUUCGUCUGCUCAUGGGAUGGCUUUGUGACUAUUGUACGGCUGUGGCAUAUACUGAUCUAUGAAUUUGCCAUGGAAAGGAGACAGUAAGCCACUCGGCCAAGUUGGAGUGGUGAGGAGAUACGCAUACCCUUGUCUUGGGUCAAUGCUUGAAUAGUUUAUUACUCUAUGUCAAUUUCGGUUUUCCUUUACAUAUCGUGGUAUACAAUAUAUAUGCAUAAUUUUGUUAACAACCAUGAUGACUAAUACGACCGCAAGGAAUCAACCAUGAUGGACAUUCAAUUGUAUACCCAUCAAUUGAAGUGGUAGAUAUCUUCAACCGGUUUGGAUGGCAGUCCACUAAUAGGAUAUACAAUUGAUCUUAUUUGCAGUCUUUUGUUUAUUCGUUCAAGACUUUGUGGAACCACACUCUGUUCACUUAUUUAAUAAAGGGGCCGUAUGCAUCGUUCUGGUGCAGAGACCGGAGGUAAUCCUCCUUCUCUAAAAAAAAAUUUGAAGUGGGCCUUCCCUGUCACGGGGUUAGGUCGAUUGAGCUACUUUAGCAACCAUGAUGACUAAUACGACUGCAAGGAAUCAGCCAGAUACAACUUUCAGAAUUAUAUUUUGAUGACAAACUUGCACACUGAGACGGAAUGAGAACAAUGAACGAAGAUAAUGAGAAAUUGAAUUCCACACCUAAUCAUUAGGUUGUGAAAUUAGACCACCAAGAAAGUGAUGGAAAGGACACACACAUAGUCGCCUUUUGACCGUGGUGCAGCUGCUCCAUGCAGCACUGUCGCCACAGUUCCUUCCGUAGCAGCUAGCGAGGUCGAGGGAACUAGCGGGAAGGAAUCUACUAAGGGGACAUCCUAGCUGCGUGCUGGAGCUACCGUACCCUGUGGACGUAUGUAUACGCAAGCUGCUGCAGAGAUAUCAUAGGCAGCUCCAAAUGCUAAGGUGACAAACAGCACGAGUCCUAGGCGUACAUGGCACAGAUAAUGAUGGAGGAGCAGUGGAUCAAUCUGUACUACUGUGCUUCCUGUAGACUCCCAAUCCUACAACAAUUGCACGUGAAAUGUAGUGCUGGCAAGAUUUCUCUUGAAAAUAUAACCUUUUAGCUGAUAUGUCAUACAUAGAGCUCGGCAGGUAUAUAUAGGUGAUAUCUUGCAGCACUCCUUUCUCGAUAUUUAAAGGGGGCAAACCAUGCUCUACACGCACUGCUAAGACCACUGAAACGUGGAUCACCUCUCCACCAGAUUUGCAGGCGCUCUUUUUCAUCCAUCUUGAAACAUGUCAUCACUUAUUCGGUUGAUGUACCAUCACCAUUCGCAUUUGACACAUCAUUCUGCUAUGCCGUGCCCGUGCCAGAAUGAUCUCCCCUAGCCGAGAUCAAAACAAAGCCAACCUUGAAAACAUGCGGGAGUAGUGCAUUUCCAAUAGGAUAAUGGCUAACAAUUUGAUAUUCUCCCUCAUCUCUUACAACUUUUAUAACCUCAAAAUGGUCUGGUUUCUUUGAGGAGCCGUCUUCACAUGAUGAGAUUCAUGCAGUUAUUAAGAAGCUCCCCUCCAAUCAAUUUCUUCGGCCUAAUUUUAUCAACAUUGAUUUUUAUUAAUACUUCGCAAUCAUAAAAAAAGGUUUUUCUAGCCUAUAUGAUGAGUUCUUUAAGGGGGGUAUAAGCCUUUAAAGUAUUCAUAGGCCCUUACCAUCCCUAAUACCUAAAAGAGCAAGAAGAGUAUGAUUGUUGGGUCGCCAUAUGAGAAGUUCCCGAUUAAAAUGCCCAUCAACAUUAGGCAGAUCUUAUCCCACAUUACAUCCACCCUGAUCAUUCUUGGAGGAACCAUUGCCUGAUUGAUCUCUAGCGCAACAUAGUGUUCGAGGCCACGCUCUCUGAGAAUCAUGCAAUCAGCUGCCAUUGGUUAUCGUGCAAGGAUAUCUCGAUGUGCGUCAUUGUCUCCUCCGAUGCGGCCGAGGCAGAAAGGUUACACGUAGACAACGAUUCAAUAUCCGACUCCUCAUGGUUGACACCCAUCUUUUCCCCCUUCUCGUGGUUCCUCUUGUCACCCAGCUCAACUCUAAGACAUGAUGACAUUGAGGCACGGUUGGCAACAUGGAGUAAUGAUCUGCCAUCGUGCAAUUUUAGAAUGUGGCGCACCAGGGCGCCCAAGCUAAGAUCAUUGGGGACGAGCGCAGAUUCAGGUACGCCAAGCUUGGCAACGAGUGGCAGAGCAGAACAAAUCAGGCAUUAACUCGGCUGCCAGAGCAGAGGACGGGGUAAAAAUGUAUGAGAAAAUGGUGGAUGAGUUAUAAAGCCACGUUCUCCAUAUGAAGGCUCGAAGACACGAAGACAUGAGCCACACAGAUGGGAUCAUGUAACUACGAUGGUGGAGACACCGCCAUGGUGAGCAUGGAGACAUGGCAUUGCCUGGCACACGCCGCGGGUUAAUUUAACUGCUUGACUAUUUUAGUAAACUAUUAGUACUAGUUGAGAUUGUGCUCCGCAGAUAGCUAAACUGAAACUAUGUGUGGAUGUGUUCCUUAAGCGGAUUUCACGAUUCGUUUAGUGUUUAUCUUUGACGCAUCUGCAUUGAUCCGGUCUUCAUUCAUCUAAACCGUGACAAUUGCUAUUAUGGUGUGCUGAUCAAGUGUGGUCUUAGCAGCACAACUUUCCCAAUUGUCUACUUCAACAACCUUUUCCCAAUUCCGGUGAGUGAGAUACGAUGACGCCGACAUGCCUUCGGCUCACCCGA